UCCCUGGUGGCUGAGAGGGUAAAGCAUCCACCUGCAAUGAGGGAGACCCAAGUUUGAUCCCUGGUCUGGGAA
Molecule: transfer RNA, 72 nt
Filed under: Bos taurus (domestic cattle)
Lineage: Eukaryota; Metazoa; Chordata; Mammalia; Artiodactyla; Bovidae
Also listed under: 4 other names
Rfam family: tRNA
About the family: Transfer RNA (tRNA) molecules are approximately 80 nucleotides in length. Their secondary structure includes four short double-helical elements and three loops (D, anti-codon, and T loops).
Source: Rfam by way of RNAcentral